Molecule: ribosomal RNA, 1324 nt
Filed under: metagenome
Description: SSU rRNA
Rfam family: Eukaryotic small subunit ribosomal RNA
Source: RNAcentral
GGUAGGAAGUGUAUUGUACUUUCUAGACUAUGACGGGUAACGAAAAAUAAGGGUUUGAUUUCGGAGAAGGAGCCUGAGAGACGGCUACUACAUCUAAGGAAGGCAGCAGGCGCGCAAAUUUCCCAUUGCUUAUCAUAUAAUGUAAGCGAGGAAGUGACGAUCAAUAACAAUGUGUGACUCUUUAUGGGUUAUGCAAUUGGAAUGACUACAAUUUAAAGAGUUUAAGAAGGAUCAAUUGGAGGGCAAGUCUGGUGCCAGCAGCCGCGGUAAUUCCAGCUCCAAUAGGAUAUAUCAAAGUUGUUGCAGUUAAAAAGCUCGUAGUUGAAUUUCUGGAAGGUAGAAGUGUUUUUUUUAGAGAAGCAAUUUUUUAUAAAAGACACCGCUUUCCAUUUUGUGGAUUUCUGUUUUGUAUGAAGAUAGUUUACUCUAUUUUUAUAUAAAAUACCACUCCGUCACUGAGAGCAAAUUGGAGUGCUCAAAGCAGGCUUUAUUAGCUUUGAACAUUUUAGCUUGGAAUGACAAGAUAUGACUUUUGUUUUAUUUUGUUGGUUAUGAAAUAAAAGUAAUGAUUAACAGGAACAGUUGCGGGGGUACUCGUAUUGAAAGGUCAGAGGUGAAAUUCUUGGAUUCUUUCAAGACGAACGACUGCGAAAGCAUUUACCAAGGAUGUUUUCAUUAAUCAAGAACGAAAGCUCGGGGAUCGAAGAUGAUUAGAUACCAUCGUAGUCCGACGCCAUAAACGAUGCCGACUCGGGAUUAUUUUGCUUGUUUAAAAUAAAAAAGAACACAAAGUAGCACCGUAUGAGAAAUCAAAGUCUUUGGGUUCCGGGGGGAGUAUGGUCGCAAGGCUGAAACUUAAAGGAAUUGACGGAAGGGGACACCAGAGGUGGAGCCUGCGGUUUAAUUUGACCCAACACGGGGAAACUUACCAGGUCCAGACAUGAUGAGGAUUGACAGUUUGAAAGCACUUUCUUGAUUUCAUGGGUGGUGGUGCAUGGCCGUUCUUAGUUGGUGGAGUGAUUUGUCUGGUUGAUUCCGAUAACGAACGAGCGGGGUGAAUUUACUAGUUUGUUAUAUAAUUUACGUUAUAUAAGACUUCUUUAUUCGACAACUUGGUUUUACCAAGAGGAAGCGCCCCGCAAUAACAGGUCUGUGAUGCCCUUAGGUGUUCUGGGCUACACGCGCGCUACAAUGACGAAUUCAACGAGUUUAAAAUUAAUUCCUUAUCCGGAAGGAUGUGGGUAAUCUUUUCAAUAUUCGUCGUGAUGGGGCUAGAUUUUUGCAAUUAUUAAUCUUCAACGAGGAAUCUCUAGUAUGUGCAAGU